Molecule: non-coding RNA, 30 nt
Filed under: Mus musculus (house mouse)
Lineage: Eukaryota; Metazoa; Chordata; Mammalia; Rodentia; Muridae
Source: RNAcentral
UGGGAGAAAAAUCCUCAACAGUUGUUGACA